UUAAUGCCUGUUAUAAAGUGUAUUCUGUCUUCUUUAUUAAUCAGAUGAGCGCCAUAUUUUUACUCUCUGUAUUACAUCGGUCAUCCGAGGCUGUCUUUGAGUUUCAUUGUGUUUAACUAAACGAACACAGCUGCUAACUGGGGUGAUUAAACUCUUAUCUGUCACGUGACGUGCUAUAGACCUGGGAUCCGUUUUUAUAAUCAUUUCAGGUUCAAAGAUGUAAGUUGUAUUUGUAGUAAAAAUCAUGGUAACCAUGACACCUACAAUAGUAGGUAAAACCCAGUAAACAAGACAUUUACCAUGUGUACCACAGUAACUGUAGUUUUUACUAUGGUAUAGUAAUAGCACAAUAAUCACCAAAAUGACUGAGGUUGUACCACUGUAAUGGUAGUGUUUUUAAUGUGCUUUUUAUAUGACAUAUUUCACAGUAAUCACAUUUACUGUACCAUGCUUGUAAUACCCUUUUUAAUGUAAAUAAAAAAACAUUUUUCCCAUCUUGCAGUUCAAUUCAUAUUAGUUUAUAUCUUAAAUAUUUUGCCCACAGAUCACUAUUAACAUUCUGUAUAUAAUUCUGUUUAAUUUCUUUCCCCUUGUAUUUAUUUUUUUAGCUGAAAAGACAUAAAGGAAUCAGUCACCCCAGUCGUGUUUGUGGAGAGGUAUUCCUUCAGAAAUGGAGAAGACAGAAAGCUGCAGAGGCAGGAUUGUUUGCACAUAACACUGUAGAUCUCCGUCAUGCACAAGGACUCACCUAUUUAACUCUUUAUCCCCCCCGCCACACACACACAGAAAUGGUUCCUGGAUCAGUGACUUAAGACUUUGCAGUGAUUUGAUUUCUGCAGAAGAUGUAACUUUGUUUUAAUUAAGCUUAUAAUGAAUACAUUGUGACCUUCCAGCAACCCAUAUACUG
This is a long non-coding RNA of Cyprinus carpio carpio, 907 nucleotides long. The record is from Ensembl. NCBI's taxonomy places the organism in Eukaryota, Metazoa, Chordata, Actinopteri, Cypriniformes, Cyprinidae.